GGGUUGUGGCGUGCCCCUGUAAUCCAGCUACCUGGAGCCCGGUGCUAGAGGACGGGUUGAGGCUGGGAGUCCUGCCCGAUGUUGACCUAUGUUGACCGGGUGUCCGCGCUAAGCUGAGCGUCGAUAUGGUGACCCCAGGGGAACCCGGUGGUGACCAGGUCGCCAAAGGAGGAGCGAACCGGCCCAGGGCGGAAACGCAGCAGGCAAAAGCUCCCGCGCUCUGCAGUAGCGGGAUAGCACCUGUGAAUGGGCGGCAUGGGGUAGCCCAGUCGAUACACCCGGACCUAGCACUUUUUUUUU
Long non-coding RNA from Rhipicephalus sanguineus (brown dog tick), 300 nucleotides. RefSeq lists it as uncharacterized. The transcript has 2 exons. Lineage: Eukaryota; Metazoa; Arthropoda; Arachnida; Ixodida; Ixodidae. The record is from RefSeq and is a predicted model, not a curated record.